UGAUAUGAAGAACUUGUUCAGAUUUGAUUUUCAACAUUGCAAUGAGUGGCGAACGGGUGAGCAACACGUGGGAAACCUACCUCUUAGCAGGGGAUAACAUUUGGAAACAAAUGCUAAUACCGUAUAAUAAUUAAAACCGCAUGGUUUUAGUUUAAAAGAUGGUCUUGCUAUCACUAAGAGAUGGUCCCGCGGUGUAUUAGUUAGUUGGUGAGGUAAUGGCUCACCAAGACAAUGAUACAUAGCCGAGUUGAGAGACUGACCGGCCACAAUGGGACUGAGACACGGCCCAUACUCCUACGGGAGGCAGCAGUAGGGAAUCUUCCACAAUGGACGAAAGUCUGAUGGAGCAACGCCGCGUGUGUGAUGAAGGGUUUCGGCUCGUAAAACACUGUUGUAAGAGAAGAAUGACAUUGAGAGUAACUGUUCAAUGUGUGACGGUAUCUUACCAGAAAGGAACGGCUAAAUACGUGCCAGCAGCCGCGGUAAUACGUAUGUUUCAAGCGUUAUCCGGAUUUAUUGGGCGUAAAGCCAGCGCAGACGGUUAUUUAAGUCUGAAGUGAAA
Molecule: ribosomal RNA, 562 nt
Filed under: uncultured Weissella sp.
Lineage: Bacteria; Bacillati; Bacillota; Bacilli; Lactobacillales; Lactobacillaceae
Description: bacterial SSU rRNA
Rfam family: Bacterial small subunit ribosomal RNA
Source: RNAcentral